RNAcentral lists this ribosomal RNA (727 nucleotides) under Clostridium sp. 39. RNAcentral's name for it is "bacterial SSU rRNA". It matches the Rfam family "Bacterial small subunit ribosomal RNA", at positions 755 to 1469 of the family's 1533-position model. Lineage: Bacteria; Bacillati; Bacillota; Clostridia; Eubacteriales; Clostridiaceae. The record is from RNAcentral.
AAGNGGGGGNAACNGGAACCAGGGAUUNAANUNCCCNUGGUAGUCCCCCNCCGGUAAACCANUAAGUUGCUAGGUGUCGGGGGGUUACCCCCCCNUCGGGUGCCGCAGUUAACCCCAAUAAGCCCCUCCCGCCUGGGAAGUACGGUCGCAAGACUGAAACUCAAAGGAAUUGACGGGGGACCCGCACAAGCAGCGGAGCAUGUGGUUUAAUUCGAAGCAACGCGAAGACCCUUACCAGGACUUGACAUCCUUUGCAUUACCCUUAAUCGGGGAAAUCCCUUCGGGGACAGAGAGACAGGUGGUGCAUGGUUGUCGUCAGCUCGUGUCGUGAGAUGUUGGGUUAAGUCCCGCAACGAGCGCAACCCUUGUCUUUAGUUGCCAUCACUUCGGGUGGGCACUCUAAAGAGACCGCCGAGGAUAACUCGGAGGAAGGUGGGGAUGACGUCAAAUCAUCAUGCCCCUUAUGUUCUGGGCUACACACGUGCUACAAUGGCUGGUACAACGGGAAGCGAAAGAGUAAUCUGGAGCCAAUCUUAAAAGCCAGUCUCAGUUCGGAUUGUGGGCUGCAACUCGCCCACAUGAAGCUGGAGUUGCUAGUAAUCGCGGAUCAGAAUGUCGCGGUGAAUGCGUUCCCGGGUCUUGUACACACCGCCCGUCACACCAUGGGAGUUGGGGGCACCCGAAGUCAGCUAUCUAACCGCAAGGAAGAAGCUAAAAAGGUGAGUCA